RNAcentral lists this ribosomal RNA (251 nucleotides) under uncultured bacterium. Its description in RNAcentral is "partial 16S ribosomal RNA". It matches the Rfam family "Bacterial small subunit ribosomal RNA", at positions 57 to 305 of the family's 1533-position model. The record is from RNAcentral.
GCAAGUCGAGGGGUAACAGGAGUGCUUGAACUCGCCGACGACCGGCGCACGGGUGCGUAACGCGUAUAGAACCUACCUUUUACAGGGGGAUAGCCUUUAGAAAUGAAGAUUAAUACCCCAUAGUAUUGAGACUUGGCAUCAAGACUUAAUUAAAGAUUUAUCGGUAAAAGAUGGCUAUGCGUCCUAUUAGUUAGAUGGUGAGGUAACGGCUUACCAUGGCUACGAUAGGUAGGGGCGCUGAGAGGGGGAUC